This 450-nucleotide ribosomal RNA is filed under the name Frankia sp. CcI49. RNAcentral describes it as "bacterial LSU rRNA". It matches the Rfam family "Bacterial large subunit ribosomal RNA", at positions 2478 to 2925 of the family's 2925-position model. The record is from RNAcentral. Lineage: Bacteria; Bacillati; Actinomycetota; Actinomycetes; Frankiales; Frankiaceae.
CAGGCUGAUCUUGCCCAAGAGUCCAUAUCGACGGCAAGGUUUGGCACCUCGAUGUCGGCUCGUCGCAUCCUGGGGCUGGAGUAGGUCCCAAGGGUUGGGCUGUUCGCCCAUUAAAGCGGUACGCGAGCUGGGUUUAGAACGUCGUGAGACAGUUCGGUCCCUAUCCGCCGCGCGCGCAGGAGACUUGAGAAGGGCUGUCCCUAGUACGAGAGGACCGGGACGGACGAACCUCUGGUGUGCCAGUUGUUCUGCCAAGGGCAUGGCUGGUUGGCUACGUUCGGAAGGGAUAACCGCUGAAAGCAUCUAAGCGGGAAGCUCGCUUCAAGAUGAGGUCUCCCACAGGGUAGCCUGGUAAGGCCCCCKACUAGAUGAUCGGGUUGAUAGGCCGGAGGUGGAAGUGCGGUGACGCAUGGAGCUGACCGGUACUAAUAGGCCGAGGGCUUGACUACA